AGUGAACGCUGGCGGCGUGCUUAACACAUGCAAGUCGAACGAGAACGGGUUAUAGCUUGCUAUAAUUGUCAGCUAAGUGGCGCACGGGUGAGUAAUGUAUAGGUAAUAUGCCUCUUACUAAGGGAUAACAAAUGGAAACGUUUGCUAAUACCUUAUACUCCUUAUUAACAGAAGUUAAUAAGGGAAAGAUUUAUUGGUAAGAGAUUAGCCUGUAUUGUAUCAGUUAGUUGGUGGGGUAAUGGCUUACAAAGACUAUGACACAUAACUGGUUUGAGAGGAUGAUCAGUCACCCGGAAACUGAGACACGGGCCAGACUCCAACGGGAGGCAGCAGUGGGGAAUAUUGCACAAGGGACGAAAGUCUGAUGCAGCACCGCCGCGUGGAGAAUGAAACAUUUCGGUGCGUAAACUCUUUUUAUAUGAGAAGAUAAUGACGGUAUUAUAUGAAUAACAACCGGCUAACUCCGUGCCAGCAGCCGCGGUAA
RNAcentral lists this ribosomal RNA (484 nucleotides) under uncultured bacterium. Its description in RNAcentral is "partial 16S ribosomal RNA". It matches the Rfam family "Bacterial small subunit ribosomal RNA", at positions 29 to 523 of the family's 1533-position model. The record is from RNAcentral.